RNAcentral lists this ribosomal RNA (254 nucleotides) under uncultured bacterium. RNAcentral describes it as "partial 16S ribosomal RNA". It matches the Rfam family "Bacterial small subunit ribosomal RNA", at positions 524 to 776 of the family's 1533-position model. The record is from RNAcentral.
UACAGAGGUCUCAAGCGUUGUUCGGAUUCAUUGGGCGUAAAGGGUGCGUAGGCGGCGCGGUAAGUCGGGUGUGAAAUCUCGGAGCUUAACUCCGAAACUGCAUUCGAUACUGCCGUGCUUGAGGACUGGAGAGGAGACUGGAAUUUACGGUGUAGCGGUGAAAUGCGUAGAUAAUCGUAAGGAAGACCAGUGGCGAAGGCGGGUCUCUGGACAGUUCCUGACGCUGAGGCACGAAGGUCAGGGGAGCAAACGGG